Molecule: long non-coding RNA, 571 nt
Organism: Mytilus californianus (California mussel)
Lineage: Eukaryota; Metazoa; Mollusca; Bivalvia; Mytilida; Mytilidae
Exons: 3
Source: RefSeq, a predicted model, not a curated record
GAGUUCUAGUUAAGAGGAGGUUUGUGAGUUUUUGUGAAGAGGAGGUUUGUGAGUUCUAGUGAAGAGGAGGUUUGUGAGUUCUAGUGAAGAGGAGGUUUGUGAGUUCUAGUGAAGAGGAGGUUUGUGAGUUCUAGUGAAGAGGAGGUUUGUGAGUUCUUGUGAAGAGGAGGUUUGUGAGUUCUAGUGAAGAGAAGGUUUGUGAGUUCUAGUGAAGAGGAGGUUUGUGAGUUCUAGUGAAGAGGAGAUUUGUGAGUUCUAGUGAAGAGGAGGUUUGUGAGUUCUUGUGAAGAGGAGGUUUGUGAGUUCUAGUGAAGAGAAGGUUUGUGAGUUCUAGUGAAGAGGAGGUUUGUGAGUUCUAGUGAAGAGGAGGUUUGUGAGUUCUUUGUGAAGAGGAGGUUUGUGAGUUCUUGUGAAGAGGAAGUUCGUGAGUUCUAGUGAAGAGGAAGUUUGUGAUCUCUGCAAAGAGGGAAGUUUGUACACACACACAUUUUGUGCCUGUAUUAAGUCAGGCUACUGGACCAUUUGUUGUUUGUGUUUGUUUGAAUAUGUAUUUUUUCAGAGGAGUCGGUGU